CCUGAUCCAGCCAUGCCGCGUGAGUGAUGAAGGCCUUAGGGUCGUAAAGCUCUUUCGCCUGUGAAGAUAAUGACGGUAGCAGGUAAAGAAACCCCGGCUAACUCCGUGCCAGCAGCCGCGGUAAUACGGAGGGGGUUAGCGUUGUUCGGAAUUACUGGGCGUAAAGCGCACGUAGGCGGAUCGGAAAGUUGGGGGUGAAAUCCCGGGGCUCAACCCCGGAACUGCCUCCAAAACUAUCGGUCUAGAGUUCGAGAGAGGUGAGUGGAAUUCCGAGUGUAGAGGUGAAAUUCGUAGAUAUUCGGAGGAACACCAGUGGCGAAGGCGGCUCACUGGCUCGAUACUGACGCUGAGGUGCGAAAGUGUGGGGAGCAAACAGGAUUAGAUACCCUGGUAGUCCACACCGUAAACGAUGAAUGCCAGUCGUCGGGUAGCAUGCUAUUCGGUGACACACCUAACGGAUUAAGCAUUCCGCCUGGG
Molecule: ribosomal RNA, 477 nt
Filed under: bacterium 6Bf1S22
Lineage: Bacteria
Description: bacterial SSU rRNA
Rfam family: Bacterial small subunit ribosomal RNA
Source: RNAcentral